This 404-nucleotide ribosomal RNA is filed under the name Actinomycetes bacterium. Its description in RNAcentral is "Actinobacteria bacterium partial 16S ribosomal RNA". It matches the Rfam family "Bacterial small subunit ribosomal RNA", at positions 355 to 776 of the family's 1533-position model. The record is from RNAcentral. Lineage: Bacteria; Bacillati; Actinomycetota; Actinomycetes.
UGGGGAAUAUUGGACAAUGGGCGCAAGCCUGAUCCAGCCAUGCCGCGUGAGUGAUGAAGGCCCUAGGGUUGUAAAGCUCUUUCACCGGUGAAGAUAAUGACGGUAACCGGAGAAGAAGCCCCGGCUAACUUCGUGCCAGCAGCCGCGGUAAUACGAAGGGGGCUAGCGUUGUUCGGAUUUACUGGGCGUAAAGCGCACGUAGGCGGACUUUUAAGUCAGGGGUGAAAUCCCGGGGCUCAACCCCGGAACUGCCUUUGAUACUGGAAGUCUUGAGGAUGGUAGAGGUGAGUGGAAUUCCGAGUGUAGAGGUGAAAUUCGUAGAUAUUCGGAGGAACACCAGUGGCGAAGGCGGCUCACUGGACCAUUACUGACGCUGAGGUGCGAAAGCGUGGGGAGCAAACAGG